GACGAUCUGUCGAGCGUGCCGGUGUGAUUUGUCCGUGGGAGAAGCAGUCUAGAAAGUCAACAUUUACCCAACUGUGAGCAAGAGUCAGCUUCGGGAAUGUAAGCGCUCAGCAGAUACAACAACGAGCCAUAUUCAAGUUGUAGCACAAAGUUCGUACAGUUGUGAUUAUUCCCGAACACCUAUGCGGUAGGAAAUGCUUGACAGGCAAAUGGCUUUGCGGCAACUGCCAUAUAGCUUCUUAUUGCAUGAUGGAACAAGGAUUCACCAUCGUCAUCAAGUAUGUUACACAUGGCAGAACACUGCUGAAAGAAUGUAGGGAUAUGACGAACAGGACUUCGGAAAAUGUCUACCCCAAGGGUGAUGAUUACAUUUGUCUUCUCACCAUUAAUCAGCUGUAGGAUAAAACUUGAUGAUUUCCCGGGUAAAACUGUGUUGCUAAUGUAAUGUUACGGAUGCUUCCUAAUCUGUCUAGCAGUCAUUUUCAAGGAUGAUCAAAUCAGGAGGUUUAGAAGAACUUAUAGAACAGCCAGCCAAUGACACACAAUUUAACUGUUUGAUAACUUUUUGGAAGGACAUUAUAUGAUGGAGGAUCAGCCAUUCAAAGUGGCAUUUUAUGAUUGGGCUGAAUCACAUUUCUGUUAUUCUGUGGCUGAUAGAUGGACCGGGUAUCUUUAGAUUUUUAUAGUUUUGAGUUUAUUCAAGAGUCUGCAAGCUCUUUGCUGACUUCCUCAUUCAGAUAUCGCCUGUCGACGAUUUCACAGCCUCACGCAAUUAAAGAACGUAUGACAAAAAGCAAAAAUGAUGUAUUCGGAGCAGAAAAAUGAAGGUGUAUCCAUUUAAUUGAAAUAGGCACACGACAACGCUCAAUCGACGUCCUUGUCUCAGUAGAGAAUUUUUUCCGUUGAACAUAUGGCCGAAAUAAUAUUGCAGUUGUUCAAGAAAGAAAAUUGUAUUGUCAGACAGCAUUAAUGUUUAAUAGCUUGAAAUCCAGAGAUGUGUGAAGUUGCGAAAUUUCUAGAUGUGAAGUGCAAUCAAGCUUCUUGUUGAAUUGUGA
Daphnia carinata is the source of this 1054-nucleotide long non-coding RNA. RefSeq lists it as uncharacterized. NCBI's taxonomy places the organism in Eukaryota, Metazoa, Arthropoda, Branchiopoda, Diplostraca, Daphniidae. The record is from RefSeq and is a predicted model, not a curated record. The transcript is spliced from 9 exons.